Molecule: long non-coding RNA, 1158 nt
Filed under: Monodelphis domestica (gray short-tailed opossum)
Lineage: Eukaryota; Metazoa; Chordata; Mammalia; Didelphimorphia; Didelphidae
Description: lncRNA (ENSMODG00000050785.1)
Source: RNAcentral
GCACAGAGGAGAGAUGGAGAAAGAUAAUAGCCCUGUCAUUGAAGAGCCUAAGACUGACUGGAGACUGUCUAAGGGCCUGCAGGACCUCCUCACCUGCCCUGUCUGUGGAAGCUUUUAUAAUGAUCCUAUAACGGAUGAUUCUGGCAAAACCUUCUGCCAGGGCUGCCUCCCUCAGGGAUCCCAGCUUUCCUACCUCCAUACCAACUGGAAAAUGCAGAGCAUGGUACAAGUGGCCAAGCAGCUGAAGCCCUUCCUUGAGCAGCCCCAGGGCCUCUUAGAGGACUGGUGCACCAAACACCAGGAAUGCUUGAGCUUUCUCUGUCGAGAAGACAAGGAGAAAAUCUGCUGGGUCUGUAGCUACUCCAGGCUUUACCAGGGCCAUACCCUGACCCAACUGCAAGACCCCAAACUGGAGGUAAGUCAGCUCCUGAGGGAGAGUCCAGGAAGGCAAGAGGCCUGGUUGUGACUUGCAGGAUAAAGAAGUCAGGAGGAAGCUUAGAAGGACUCCCAGGGAAGCAUUCUGGGAAAUCUUCCCAUCCCAGCCCCUUGCACAGUCUAUCCUUCUUGUCUACAAGAUUCUCCCUCUGCAUCCAGCUACUUGGAAUCCUGGGAGUCACUUAACAAUGAAAUCCCUCCUUGAUCCUUCAUUCUUAUCUCUCAAAUUCCAUCCUUUCCAAUGCUCUGUGCCCAUGUCAGAUCUCCCCAAGUUCUCAGGGGUGAAGGCUCUGAACGAAUCUUUGGGAUCUUAGACCACGGAAUCAUGCUUUACACUGAGGAAGCCAUUGGUCAGUGCUCUUGGAAGUGAGUUCUUUUUCCUUUCCAGGAUAAUUCUGAAGAAGGCAAAAAGAAGAAGAAGAAAAGGAAGAAGGACUAGACCACGGAAUUGUCUUCCACUGGGGCAGGAUACAGGGCCCCAUAUGACACUGUUUGCACCUUUACCCAAACCCUUAUGGACUCCUGCCUGGAAUCCCAGCCAGUCAGUCAUGGACCCUUUCUCAAGGACGAGAGGAUCCAGAACAGAAGAAAUUUCAGAUUGAAGCAUCUUCCCAGACUAGAUUGUCAAACUGAUUCAGCCCUGGCAGCUAGUGGCCUCUUGGGACACUACUUGAAGUUUUUUAUCUGAAGAUCAUCUAAUAAAAUGGCUCUUACCCACUGGGC